This 58-nucleotide transfer RNA is filed under the name Matsucoccus matsumurae. RNAcentral describes it as "tRNA-Cys". Lineage: Eukaryota; Metazoa; Arthropoda; Insecta; Hemiptera; Margarodidae. The record is from RNAcentral.
AAAUUUAUAAUAAAAUUAUUAUAUUAAAUUGCAAAUUUAAUCUAUUUAUUUAAAUUUU